GAAGCCCCUCCAAGACUGCCAGCCUCCACCCCAUGGACCUCAUGCAGCAUGGAUAUGAGACCUAGGUUCACUAGUGUGGGGAGGGGAGGUGAAUACGCAUACCAUUUUAUGUCAUUUUGCUCAAUUAGAAAUGUACUAGCAAUUGAGUUAAGGAGAGAGACCUGAGCUUCCAACAUACAAUUUCUAUUCCAUUUUCUUUUCUAGGGAGAAGAACAAUGAAAAAAAAAAAAAACCUAAGCAGAUUUAACUUCUGGGAUGAUCUGUGAUUCCACAAGUUUAAAUAUAUUAUAAAAUGUCACUUUUUCUUUAAUUCCAUUGGAUUCCAUGCAAGUGUUAUCUGAAAAUAAUUUUAAAAAUCUCAAUAACACAUUUAAAAAUGCAUAUAGGAUUAAACCACUUAUAGGAAAUUUUAGCAGAUGUCCCAACAGGGUUAUCAAAAAGAGAUACCUACCUCAGUCUUUCCCAAAGACCUCUGGAGACUGAGUAGUGCUUGUCCUCUUCUGAGGGUAGAUGAAGAUAGUGACUUAAUUCUUUAAUUACUUUGGCGUGAGUUAAAUCCUGAGCACCUCCAUGCAUUUCUUGUGAAAUGAUUGAUACAUAGUAAUAUUGGCAGCUGUUCUCUUUUCCUCCAGCCCUUCUCUCUCCUUAGCACCUACAGGGAGAAGCCCACACUCAGGAAGAAGGUUUCUUAAUUGAGAUCUGUUAUCUGCAAGACCAUGAGGCCCACAGCUUGGCUUCACAGGACAUGCAAACCACAGGUGGCUACACUGUGCCCUUUGCUUCUCUGUGAGGCUGCCAUAGCACUGGCUCCCAGGGGCCCUACGCGUGAAGAGGGAAGCAAAUGGCUAUUGGUAAAACGUCAAUUCACCAAUUGACCCACCUGGUAAAAGCCCAAAUGAAAGGCUGAAUGGUUAAGACUGAUGAGUGAUCAAUUCUCCAAAUUAAGACAUUUAUAGGAGUUCAUAAAUGAGUUCAGCAGCCUUUGGGUAUUUUUUUUUUUUAAGUUUGUGUUGUCUACAGUUUUUAUUCUGGAAUCAUCCUCAGAUUUUUUUUCCAAACUUGUUAACUGGCCUUAUUUUGAUGCUGAAUUUGGAUGCUUUAUAUUUCAGCCACUGAACACUUCUCAUAAUAUUUUGUGCAAUAUGUGUGUUUACAUCUUUGGUUAUUUUGUAAGAUAAGUUUUAAAUUGGACAGAAUAAAAUAGGAGCAUACAUCUAUACACAUCUCCCACUAUUUAGCAUUUAAUUUAUUUUCUUUGAUGUAAUUUUUAUUAAGGUAUAAUCAGGAAUAAAAUGCUCAAACCAAUAUGUGGACUGCUUGAUGAAUUUUCCAUCACCCAAGAAAGCUUCCUCGUGCUCCUUUCCAACUUAUUUCUGUUCAAGAGGUGAGAAGCUCAGGGACCAUAAGCCAUUUCCCCCAAUGCCUCAUGAGUUUUCAGAAGCAGAACUUGGAGACAGACUUGUCUAUGUGUACAAAUUCUAUAUAUCUUCCACACACUCCGCUGCUCCAUCAUUACCCUCUGCAUCCUGGCCCGCAAGAGGAAGUCCCAGCGCUGCCCUCCUGCAUCCAGCUGUGCAGUAGAAACCUCGACAGUCAUCACAGGUCAUUGCCACAGCCCCUUUCUGACCCUCCGAGGAGCAUAUGAUUUUACACUGAUUCUUCUUCAUUUUUUGUUGUCCUCCUGGGCUCUCCUGUUCUGCAGCUUGUGUGUUUAUCUCUUAUUGUGCACGUUUAUGUACAAAUAUUUGAUUAAAUGCAACUGAAAUGAUAGUUUUCUUUGGGUCUCAAAUAAAAUCCUUUCUCAAGUAAAUG
This is a long non-coding RNA of Marmota monax (woodchuck), 1812 nucleotides long. RefSeq lists it as uncharacterized. The record is from RefSeq and is a predicted model, not a curated record. Lineage: Eukaryota; Metazoa; Chordata; Mammalia; Rodentia; Sciuridae. The transcript is spliced from 2 exons.